This 182-nucleotide unclassified non-coding RNA is filed under the name uncultured fungus. RNAcentral describes it as "sequence contains ITS1". Lineage: Eukaryota; Fungi. The record is from RNAcentral.
GUAAUAAUUUCAGGGUCUAUCAGACUGUAACUGCUUAUUGCAAAGCGUUUGGUUGGUCCCCAUUGGCGGUUAUGGACCGCCGAGGAAAUAUACAAGUGCUGGUAAAGGCAAGGGUGUUUAUCUUUGCGAGCUUAUUUAGGCCUAACAUUUUAAUGAUCCUUCCGCAGGUUCACCUACGGAAA